AAUCGAAACCGCAUGGUUUUGAUUUGAAAGGCGCUUUCGGGUGUCGCUGAUGGAUGGACCCGCGGUGCAUUAGCUAGUUGGUGAGGUAACGGCUCACCAAGGCCACGAUGCAUAGCCGACCUGAGAGGGUGAUCGGCCACAUUGGGACUGAGACACGGCCCAAACUCCUACGGGAGGCAGCAGUAGGGAAUCUUCGGCAAUGGACGAAAGUCUGACCGAGCAACGCCGCGUGAGUGAAGAAGGUUUUCGGAUCGUAAAACUCUGUUGUUAGAGAAGAACAAGGAUGAGAGUAACUGUUCAUCCCUUGACGGUAUCUAACCAGAAAGCCACGGCUAACUACGUGCCAGCAGCCGCGGUAAUACGUAGGUGGCAAGCGUUGUCCGGAUUUAUUGGGCGUAAAGCGAGCGCAGGCGGUUUCUUAAGUCUGAUGUGAAAGCCCCCGGCUCAACCGGGGAGGGUCAUUGGAAACUGGGAGACUUGAGUGCAGAAGAGGAGAGUGGAAUUCCAUGUGUAGCGGUGAAAUGCGUAGAUAUAUGGAGGAACACCAGUGGCGAAGGCGGCUCUCUGGUCUGUAACUGACGCUGAGGCUCGAAAGCGUGGGGAGCAAACAGGAUUAGAUACCCUGGUAGUCCACGCCGUAAACGAUGUCGAUUUGGAGGUUGUGCCCUUGAGGCGUGGCUUCCGGAGCUAACGCGUUAAAUCGACCGCCUGGGGAGUACGGCCGCAAGGUUAAAACUCAAAUGAAUUGACGGGGGCCCGCACAAGCGGUGGAGCAUGUGGUUUAAUUCGAUGCAACGCGAAGAACCUUACCUGGUCUUGACAUCCACAGAACUUUCCAGAGAUGGAUUGGUGCCUUCGGGAACUGUGAGACAGGUGCUGCAUGGCUGUCGUCAGCUCGUGUUGUGAAAUGUUGGGUUAAGUCC
Molecule: ribosomal RNA, 923 nt
Filed under: Klebsiella pneumoniae
Lineage: Bacteria; Pseudomonadati; Pseudomonadota; Gammaproteobacteria; Enterobacterales; Enterobacteriaceae
Description: bacterial SSU rRNA
Rfam family: Bacterial small subunit ribosomal RNA
Source: RNAcentral